Molecule: ribosomal RNA, 2893 nt
Filed under: Escherichia coli
Lineage: Bacteria; Pseudomonadati; Pseudomonadota; Gammaproteobacteria; Enterobacterales; Enterobacteriaceae
Also listed under: 1 other name
Description: bacterial LSU rRNA
Rfam family: Bacterial large subunit ribosomal RNA
Source: RNAcentral
ACUAAGCGUACACGGUGGAUGCCCUGGCAGUCAGAGGCGAUGAAGGACGUGCUAAUCUGCGAUAAGCGUCGGUGAGGUGAUAUGAACCGUUAUAACCGGCGAUUUCCGAAUGGGGAAACCCAGUGUGUUUCGACACACUAUCAUUAACUGAAUCCAUAGGUUAAUGAGGCGAACCGGGGGAACUGAAACAUCUAAGUACCCCGAGGAAAAGAAAUCAACCGAGAUUCCCCCAGUAGCGGCGAGCGAACGGGGAGGAGCCCAGAGCCUGAAUCAGUGUGUGUGUUAGUGGAAGCGUCUGGAAAGGCGCGCGAUACAGGGUGACAGCCCCGUACACAAAAAUGCACAUAUUGUGAGCUCGAUGAGUAGGGCGGGACACGUGGUAUCCUGUCUGAAUAUGGGGGGACCAUCCUCCAAGGCUAAAUACUCCUGACUGACCGAUAGUGAACCAGUACCGUGAGGGAAAGGCGAAAAGAACCCCGGCGAGGGGAGUGAAAAAGAACCUGAAACCGUGUACGUACAAGCAGUGGGAGCCUCUUUAUGGGGUGACUGCGUACCUUUUGUAUAAUGGGUCAGCGACUUAUAUUCUGUAGCAAGGUUAACCGAAUAGGGGAGCCGAAGGGAAACCGAGUCUUAACUGGGCGUUAAGUUGCAGGGUAUAGACCCGAAACCCGGUGAUCUAGCCAUGGGCAGGUUGAAGGUUGGGUAACACUAACUGGAGGACCGAACCGACUAAUGUUGAAAAAUUAGCGGAUGACUUGUGGCUGGGGGUGAAAGGCCAAUCAAACCGGGAGAUAGCUGGUUCUCCCCGAAAGCUAUUUAGGUAGCGCCUCGUGAAUUCAUCUCCGGGGGUAGAGCACUGUUUCGGCAAGGGGGUCAUCCCGACUUACCAACCCGAUGCAAACUGCGAAUACCGGAGAAUGUUAUCACGGGAGACACACGGCGGGUGCUAACGUCCGUCGUGAAGAGGGAAACAACCCAGACCGCCAGCUAAGGUCCCAAAGUCAUGGUUAAGUGGGAAACGAUGUGGGAAGGCCCAGACAGCCAGGAUGUUGGCUUAGAAGCAGCCAUCAUUUAAAGAAAGCGUAAUAGCUCACUGGUCGAGUCGGCCUGCGCGGAAGAUGUAACGGGGCUAAACCAUGCACCGAAGCUGCGGCAGCGACACUAUGUGUUGUUGGGUAGGGGAGCGUUCUGUAAGCCUGUGAAGGUGGCCUGUGAGGGUUGCUGGAGGUAUCAGAAGUGCGAAUGCUGACAUAAGUAACGAUAAAGCGGGUGAAAAGCCCGCUCGCCGGAAGACCAAGGGUUCCUGUCCAACGUUAAUCGGGGCAGGGUGAGUCGACCCCUAAGGCGAGGCCGAAAGGCGUAGUCGAUGGGAAACAGGUUAAUAUUCCUGUACUUGGUGUUACUGCGAAGGGGGGACGGAGAAGGCUAUGUUGGCCGGGCGACGGUUGUCCCGGUUUAAGCGUGUAGGCUGGUUUUCCAGGCAAAUCCGGAAAACCAAGGCUGAGGCGUGAUGACGAGGCACUACGGUGCUGAAGCGACAAAUGCCCUGCUUCCAGGAAAAGCCUCUAAGCAUCAGGUAACAUCAAAUCGUACCCCAAACCGACACAGGUGGUCAGGUAGAGAAUACCAAGGCGCUUGAGAGAACUCGGGUGAAGGAACUAGGCAAAAUGGUGCCGUAACUUCGGGAGAAGGCACGCUGAUAUGUAGGUGAAGCGACUUGCUCGUGGAGCUGAAAUCAGUCGAAGAUACCAGCUGGCUGCAACUGUUUAUUAAAAACACAGCACUGUGCAAACACGAAAGUGGACGUAUACGGUGUGACGCCUGCCCGGUGCCGGAAGGUUAAUUGAUGGGGUUAGCGGUAACGCGAAGCUCUUGAUCGAAGCCCCGGUAAACGGCGGCCGUAACUAUAACGGUCCUAAGGUAGCGAAAUUCCUUGUCGGGUAAGUUCCGACCUGCACGAAUGGCGUAAUGAUGGCCAGGCUGUCUCCACCCGAGACUCAGUGAAAUUGAACUCGCUGUGAAGAUGCAGUGUACCCGCGGCAAGACGGAAAGACCCCGUGAACCUUUACUAUAGCUUGACACUGAACAUUGAGCCUUGAUGUGUAGGAUAGGUGGGAGGCUUUGAAGUGUGGACGCCAGUCUGCAUGGAGCCGACCUUGAAAUACCACCCUUUAAUGUUUGAUGUUCUAACGUUGGCCCGUAAUCCGGGUUGCGGACAGUGUCUGGUGGGUAGUUUGACUGGGGCGGUCUCCUCCUAAAGAGUAACGGAGGAGCACGAAGGUUGGCUAAUCCUGGUCGGACAUCAGGAGGUUAGUGCAAUGGCAUAAGCCAGCUUGACUGCGAGCGUGACGGCGCGAGCAGGUGCGAAAGCAGGUCAUAGUGAUCCGGUGGUUCUGAAUGGAAGGGCCAUCGCUCAACGGAUAAAAGGUACUCCGGGGAUAACAGGCUGAUACCGCCCAAGAGUUCAUAUCGACGGCGGUGUUUGGCACCUCGAUGUCGGCUCAUCACAUCCUGGGGCUGAAGUAGGUCCCAAGGGUAUGGCUGUUCGCCAUUUAAAGUGGUACGCGAGCUGGGUUUAGAACGUCGUGAGACAGUUCGGUCCCUAUCUGCCGUGGGCGCUGGAGAACUGAGGGGGGCUGCUCCUAGUACGAGAGGACCGGAGUGGACGCAUCACUGGUGUUCGGGUUGUCAUGCCAAUGGCACUGCCCGGUAGCUAAAUGCGGAAGAGAUAAGUGCUGAAAGCAUCUAAGCACGAAACUUGCCCCGAGAUGAGUUCUCCCUGAGACUUAGAGUCUCCUGAAGGAACGUUGAAGACGACGACGUUGAUAGGCCGGGUGUGUAAGCGCAGCGAUGCGUUGAGCUAACCGGUACUAAUGAACCGUGAGGCUUAACC